UUUAAUGGAUUAUAUAAUUGGCAAGUUUUCAUUGGUCUUUCAGAUUGCUCCAUUUAUGAAUGAACAUGAGCAGAAUGUAGGACAGAUGGCAAUCGGAUUUGAGGCUGAAAACAGAGUAAGCACCGGGUUGCAGCUUUAGCUGGUCCCCGAAUUGUUUAAAAGCUAGAUCUCCUGAUUGGAGGGAGUGGGACAAUGAUCGAACCAAGCUAAGCAAAUAUAAUCCAUUGGAUCAACGGCCAUGAUCACGGAAUUUAUCCUUGUUGCCUUUUUGGGUUAAAAACUUGCCUUUUUGAAAGUUGGGCUGGGGAGUUACGAAGCAAGUGUAGAAGCAGGGAUGUUGUAAUUCUCAUUAAGGUGAGUAGGUAAUAGUUGGACUCGAUUGACGGGCUGCAGGCCUGUGAGUAUGAGCCCAAAGCCCACUUUCGUAUUUUAUGAAUAGAGGUCCACACAUGACAUGUGAGCUACGGUCAGAACUCAGAAGUUCAAUUGUAAAUGACUAAAUUCCAACAUUUGGAUGAGUAUUAUUACUUUCUAGCCUACUCUAUGGGCUACUUCAAAUUUGAUAAUUUGUUUUUCUUUUGGCC
RNAcentral lists this long non-coding RNA (584 nucleotides) under Citrus sinensis (sweet orange). RNAcentral describes it as "long non-coding RNA (CSIN_LNC000439)". Lineage: Eukaryota; Viridiplantae; Streptophyta; Magnoliopsida; Sapindales; Rutaceae. The record is from RNAcentral.